Molecule: long non-coding RNA, 375 nt
Organism: Poeciliopsis prolifica (blackstripe livebearer)
Lineage: Eukaryota; Metazoa; Chordata; Actinopteri; Cyprinodontiformes; Poeciliidae
Exons: 3
Source: RefSeq, a predicted model, not a curated record
CAUACUUUGAACAAAUAACAACAACAAAAACAGUUGAACAUUGUUUAACAAAUGUGAAACACAUUUUAUAUGGAUUUAAACUGCAGCCUAUAUAACAGAAACCAUCGGAGACAUGAACACGUAAACGCCUCAUGGAGCGCUCCGUCCUACGUUACGUCGCCGCCAUCUUGAAUGUGGCAGUGGAGCGGUCGUCCUUGUUUCAACCGUUUUACAAUACAAACUGGAUUCAUUGGCAUUUCCUUUCACAGGAUAAAAGAGAACCAGGACGUCCAGUAAACAGAACCAGGACGACUCAGAACUCACUGGACUUCUCCCAGUUUGACCAGCAGACUGAAGCCCUGCUUGUGACCAGUGUUCCCAGUAUUAAAAAUAAAU